RNAcentral lists this ribosomal RNA (827 nucleotides) under Goeppertia straminea. RNAcentral describes it as "eukaryotic LSU rRNA". The stretch from base 305 to 460 matches the Rfam family "5.8S ribosomal RNA". The record is from RNAcentral. Lineage: Eukaryota; Viridiplantae; Streptophyta; Magnoliopsida; Zingiberales; Marantaceae.
UUCGCCGCUCGCGACGUCUUGAGAAGUCCACUGAACCUUAUCAUUUAGAGGAAGGAGAAGUCGUAACAAGGUUUCCGUAGGUGAACCUGCGGAAGGAUCAUUGUUGAAAUCCUCAACGAGGAGGACCGUGAAUGCAUCAAGGAAUGUUUGUCGGGUUGGGGGCCCCCUCGGACUGACGCAGUCCUCGCCCUUGCGGCGUGGAUGACUGACCAAAUCACCCGGCGCGAUGGGCGCCAAGGAACACGAAACGUUCGGGCGGGCGGGACUUUGUCCUUGCGCGCCCUAGUUUUGAUCGAAAUCAAACGACUCUCGGCAACGGAUAUCUCGGCCCUCGCAUCGAUGAAGAACGUAGCGAAAUGCGAUACGUGGUGUGAAUUGCAGAAUCCCGCGAACCAUUGAGUCUUUGAACGCAAGUUGCGCCCGAGGCCUUCUGGCCGAGGGCAUGCCUGCCUGGGCGUCACGCCAUCGUCGCUUCGCGCGCCCUUGCCCCCACGCACGAGUGGCGGAGCCGGAUACGGACAUUGGCCCCCCUGGCCCCCGGGCGCGGUCGGCCGAAGAUCGGGCCGUUGUUGGUGGCCGGACAUGACGGGUGGUGGCGCUACGAGCAAGCCGAACGUCGUGUCCCCGCCGUGAUGACGAGCUACGGAGGACCCCCACUCCACCAUAAUUGUUUGCCACGGAUUGCGACCCCAGGUCAGGCGGGACCACCCGCCGAGUUUAAGCAUAUAAAUAAGCGGAGGAGAGGAAACUUACGAGGAUUCCCAUAGUAACAGCGAGCGAACCGGGAUCAGCCCAGCUUGAGAAUCGGGGCGGUUGCACCGUUCGAA